This is a long non-coding RNA of Haemorhous mexicanus (house finch), 575 nucleotides long. RefSeq lists it as uncharacterized. Lineage: Eukaryota; Metazoa; Chordata; Aves; Passeriformes; Fringillidae. The transcript has 2 exons. The record is from RefSeq and is a predicted model, not a curated record.
GCUCUAAAAAUCCGCCCAAAAAACUCCAAAAAAAAAACCCCAAAAUCCCCUAAAAAUCCCCCCAAAAUCCCAGAAAAAAACCUCAAAAAAAAUUCCCCAAAUUCCCCUUAAGAAGCCCCAAAUUCCCCCAAGCCCCGCCCCCAGCCCCGGCCUGGCCCCGCCCACUGGAUGAUGUAAUCGGUGCUGGCCCCGCCCCAGGUGUUAGACCCCGCCCCCUCGAUUACGUCACUGAUCUACAAGAACAUGGACAGGUGGAAACGGGUCCGGCAGCGCUGGCGGGAGGCGGCGCAGCGGCAGCAGCAGCGCUACGGGCCCAGCCUGCGGCUGCUGCGAAUCAUCUACGAGCGGCAGUGAGGCCACGCCCACCGGCCACGCCCACAUCGACCACACCCACCCUGACCACGCCCACAUCCACCACAGCCAGCCUGACCACGCCCACAUUGACCACUCCCACCUGACCUCCACCACACCCACCCUGACCCCACCCACAUUAGCCACACCCACUUCAAGCAUACCCACGGCCACGCCCACCCUGGCCCCGCCCCCUCCCCAAUAAAAACUCCGUUCUUCCCAUA